RNAcentral lists this ribosomal RNA (465 nucleotides) under uncultured bacterium. RNAcentral's name for it is "partial 16S ribosomal RNA". It matches the Rfam family "Bacterial small subunit ribosomal RNA", at positions 28 to 507 of the family's 1533-position model. The record is from RNAcentral.
GACGAACGCUGGCGGCGUGCUUAACACAUGCAAGUCGAACGGAAAGGCCCCUUUGGGGGUACUCGAGUGGCGAACGGGUGAGUAACACGUGAGUAACCUGCCCUUGACUUCGGGAUAACUUCAGGAAACUGGGGCUAAUACCGGAUAGGAAUCCUUGCUGCAUGGUGGGGGUUGGAAAGCUUCGGCGGUUUUGGAUGGACUCGCGGCUUAUCAGCUUGUUGGUGGGGUAGUGGCUUACCAAGGCUUUGACGGGUAGCCGGCCUGAGAGGGCGACCGGCCACAUUGGGGCUGAGAUACGGCCCAGACUCCUACGGGAGGCAGAAGUGGGGAAUAUUGCACAAUGGGCGGAAGCCUGAUGCAGCAACGCCGCGUGCGGGAUGACGGCCUUCGGGUUGUAAACCGCUUUCAGCAGGGGCGAAGCUUGUGGUGACGGUACCUGCAGAAGAAGCACCGGCUAACUACGUG